This 94-nucleotide unclassified non-coding RNA is filed under the name synthetic construct. Its description in RNAcentral is "untranslated stem-loop". The record is from RNAcentral.
AGCUUGCAACGAUUGAAUUGGGGGGUCUGCUACCAAUCUGACAGGUGUACCUGUCAUAAUCUUGGCAGGUCCCGUACACGAUUAGUUGCCUGCA